This 876-nucleotide long non-coding RNA is filed under the name Mus musculus (house mouse). Its description in RNAcentral is "long non-coding RNA chr15:94773180-94774056". The record is from RNAcentral. Lineage: Eukaryota; Metazoa; Chordata; Mammalia; Rodentia; Muridae.
UACAAGCUCACAGAGACCAAAGCAGCACGUAUUGGGCCUACAAGGGUCUGCACUAUGUCCUCUAUGUAUAAAUUGUAGUGCUCAUCUUGGUAUUCCUAUGGGACUCUGAGCAUGAGAAGGAGUGAAUGUCUCUGACUCUUGUGCCUACUCUUGGGACUCUUUUCUCCCUGUUGGGUUGCUGUGUCUACCUUCAUGAUAGUUUUGCUUCGUCUGACUAUUAUUUUUUAUUCAGCCAUGUAGGUUGUUAUCUCUUAGGAGCCUGUUCUUUCCUAACAAGAGACAGAAAAGGAGUGGAUACAGAGGGGAGGGGCCCUGGGCAGGAACUGGGACAAGUAAAGGAAGGGAAAGUGUAAUCAGGAUAUAUUGUUUGAGAGAAGAACCCAUUCUCAAUAAGGGAAGAGCAUUCAGAGUAGCUUAUGAUCAGUAUAGUCGGGACCUGAAGUCACAUUUGGUGUUUUUAUUUCAUAAAUAUUAUUUGUUUUAUUUCGGAUUUUUUUUAAAAGAUUGCAGUUUCACCAAUCAUUAGCAAUAGUCAUAUAACAUAAGCUAUGCAAGGGAUGUCAUCCAUGCCACAUAGAAAGCUCCCUUAGUUGUCAGCGGAUGGGAUUCUGGCUCUUGGGAGCUCUAGAUACACUUCAAUAAAGCUUCCAUGAACAUAGUGUUUCGUCCCCUGAAAUGUCUCUGUUGUUUCCCUUACUCAAGCCGCACCAUGGGAGAAAGCUUCUCCCGUCCAAACGCAGCUCCAGACACACAACAUGCUAGUUAGGGUCUGUGAAAACAAUCAACACGCAUCCUUCCUCCUAGGACCACACAGAACAAGGCAAUGGUUUUAGCGAGUAAUGGCAAAUCCUUAGAAAUUUCCAGUAAUUUAAAAAU